GAUGAACGCUGGCGGCGUGCUUAACACAUGCAAGUCGAGCGAAGCACUUAAGUGGAUCUCUUCGGAUUGAAACUUAUUUGACUGAGCGGCGGACGGGUGAGUAACGCGUGGGUAACCUGCCUCAUACAGGGGGAUAACAGUUAGAAAUGGCUGCUAAUACCGCAUAAGCGCACAGGACCGCAUGGUCUGGUGUGAAAAACUCCGGUGGUAUGAGAUGGACCCGCGUCUGAUUAGCUAGUUGGAGGGGUAACGGCCCACCAAGGCGACGAUCAGUAGCCGGCCUGAGAGGGUGAACGGCCACAUUGGGACUGAGACACGGCCCAG
RNAcentral lists this ribosomal RNA (324 nucleotides) under uncultured bacterium. RNAcentral describes it as "bacterial SSU rRNA". It matches the Rfam family "Bacterial small subunit ribosomal RNA", at positions 28 to 334 of the family's 1533-position model. The record is from RNAcentral.